Long non-coding RNA from Grammomys surdaster, 848 nucleotides. RefSeq lists it as uncharacterized. The transcript has 4 exons. NCBI's taxonomy places the organism in Eukaryota, Metazoa, Chordata, Mammalia, Rodentia, Muridae. The record is from RefSeq and is a predicted model, not a curated record.
AAGCCACCAGGCCGCAGCGUGGGGAACAGCACAGCCACUCGGCUCAGCAGCCUCUCGCAGGGCCCCGGGCCUGCCGCGGCUUCUGCCUCCGGCUCCGGGCUGAAGCAGAAGCUGAAGCGGCGGAUCUCGCGGGUCGCCUCCUCCUUGCCCAGAAGAUAGGCCUUCACCGUGAACGACGCCAUAACGGUGGAUUAGGUACGGACGAAACAGCUGGGCAGUGGCGGCGGCGAGAGCCCAGCUUUUAUAGAAAACGGGGGGGCCCCGCCUCAUGGGGGCGGAGCUAGAGAGGCUCCGCCCCUCCCUGCUGUCUGGGCGGCCGCUCGAGCCCCUUUGAUAGGACCCCCCUGACAGGUAUGGGGCCGAGGUGGCCCCCAUUGCUUACUCUUUUCUUUCCCUCCGAAUACAUGGGUGAUCCCAAGAAACCAACCUCAGCCUCAGCUCGUUGGGAAAAGGACUGCCUAUUGAGUCGUGGGAUGAGGAGUCCAUGUAAGUGCUGAUCAGCUGAAGCCAAGGCCACUGAGGCGGAGAUGCUCAGACCAUUCUCAAAGAGACUGGAGAUCACAGGGCACAGCCCCCGUAGAUCCUCACUCCACCCAGGCUCGUGAGUAUUGGGAGGACUCCUUCACAACUGAAAAUACCAGCCAACUUGUUUUCAGUCUGUUUAUUCCUACCAAGGCCACCAUUCUGCCUCCUCUCUGAUGCUGAAGUGGAACCUGUGCUCAGCCUUCUCCUGGGUGCCGCACCUUUAGGUAUGCUGGAAGACACAGAAGCCACAUCAGAUCAUACACUGUGUGCAGUGGAUCAGGACUCUCGCAGGAGCCUGUGGCCCCUCCCUCCCACCCCACCCC